Molecule: long non-coding RNA, 341 nt
Organism: Lolium rigidum
Lineage: Eukaryota; Viridiplantae; Streptophyta; Magnoliopsida; Poales; Poaceae
Exons: 3
Source: RefSeq, a predicted model, not a curated record
CCGACCUUCUUCCUCAGCGCCGCACGUUGUCGCGCUUCCUCCUGCGAUUCUUCCUCCGCUCCCGCACCCCACCAUCUUCCCCCGAUUCUUCUCUAACCGCACCUGGGUUUCUUCCUCUGCCACUCCCCCACGCGCGCCUAAGGGUUCCUCGCUGGUCUGCUUCGUCGUCCCCAUCGAUGGCGGCGGAAGGAAAUCAUUCUAGAGUACAGGAAGCUCAAAGGAUACGACAUGUUCUAUUGUAUCCAGAACAAAUUCGUUGUUCAGCAGUUUGAAAAAGGAAAGAAAAGGAAAUUUUAGUGGUUGCAGAGAGAACAUGGAGAUGAUCUUUUUUUAUCUGAAUG